Molecule: ribosomal RNA, 537 nt
Filed under: Entamoeba moshkovskii
Lineage: Eukaryota; Evosea; Mastigamoebida; Endamoebidae
Description: SSU rRNA
Rfam family: Eukaryotic small subunit ribosomal RNA
Source: RNAcentral
UAUCUGGUUGAUCCUGCCAGUAUUAUAUGCUGAUGUUAAAGAUUAAGCCAUGCAUGUGUAAGUAUAAAGACCAAGUAGGAUGAAACUGCGGACGGCUCAUUAUAACAGUAAUAGUUUCUUUGGUUAGUAAAGUACAAGGAUAGCUUUGUGAAUGAUAAAGAUAAUACUUGAGACGAUCCGGUUUGUAUUAGUACAAGUCGGCCACUCUCUUCACGGGGAGUGCGAAUGCCAUUCUGAAUUGAAUAAGGAUGGUAUGACAGUUGUAGAGCACACAGUGUUUAACAAGUAACCAAUGAGAAUUUCUGAUCUAUCAAUUUGUUGGUAGUAUCGAGGACUACCACGAUUAUAACGGAUAACGAGGAAUUGGGGUUCGACAUCGGAGAGGGAGCUUUACAGAUGGCUACCACUUCUACGGAAGGCAGCAGGCGCGUAAAUUACCCACUUUCGACGUGAAGAGGUAGUGACGACAAAUAACUCUCGAGGUGGUUAACUCCACUUCUUGAAGGAAUGAGUAAGAAGUAAAUACUCUUACGAAAU